UUAAGUUAAUAAGGGCGCAUGGUGGAUGCCUUGGCACUAGAAGGCGAUGAAGGACGUGACUAACUACGAUAUGCCUCGGUUAGCUGUAAGUAAGCUUACCCGGGGGUUUCCGAAUGGGGCAACCCGAUCUUAAUGAUCAUCAUCUUUUUGAAUUCAUAGAUUAGAUGAAGCAAACGCUGUGAACUGAAACAUCUCAGUAGCAGUAGGAAAGUAAAGAAAUUUCGAUUCCGUCAGUAGCGGCGAGCGAACGCGGAAGAGCCCAAACCUGGAUGCUUGCAUCCAGGGGUUGUAGGACUGAUGUUGAGUUACAAAGGUAUAAGAUAGCAGAAACAGUUGGGAAGCUGUUCCAAAGAGGGUGACAGGCCCGUAUGCGAAAUCUUGUACUCUCUAAUCAGGAUCCUGAGUACGGCCCAGCACGUGAAAUUGGGUCGGAAUCUGGGAGGACCAUCUCCCAAGGCUAAAUACUAACUAGUGACCGAUAGCGAACAAGUACCGUGAGGGAAAGGUGAAAAGAACCCCGGAAGGGGAGUGAAAUAGUUCUUGAAACCGUGUGCUUACAAGAAGUUCGAGGCCGUUAAUGGCUGAGAGCGUGCUUUUUGUAGAAUGAACCGGAGAGUUACGAUUGCGUGCAAGGUUAAGGUGCAAAGACUGGAGCCGUAGCGAAAGCGAGUCUUAAUAGGGCGAAUCAGUACGUAGUUGUAGACCCGAAACCGAGUGACCUAUCCAUGGUCAGGUUGAAGGUGGGGUAAUACCUACUGGAGGACCGAACAAGUGGGUGUUAAAAAACCCUUUGAUGAACUGUGGAUAGCGGUGAAAUUCCAAUCGAACUCGGAGAUAGCUGGUUCUAUCCGAAAUACAUUUAGGUGUAGCCUUGCAAUUAGCUUACUGGAGGUAGAGCACUAUUUGGUCUAGGGGCCCUUCAAGGGUUACCAAAAUCAGAUAAACUCCGAAUGCCAGCUAAGUAUGUGCAGGAGUCAGACGGUGAGUGAUAAGAUCCAUCGUCGAAAGGGGAACAGCCCAGAUCACCAGUUAAGGUCCCUAAAUAUAUGCUAAGUGGAAAACGUUGUGAAGGUGCAUAGACAACUAGGAGGUUGGCUCAGAAGCAGCCACCCUUUAAAGAGUGCGUAAUAGCUCACUAGUCGAGUGCUCUUGCGCGGAUAAUGUACCGGGGCUAAGCAUAUUACCGAAACUGUGGAUGCGUAAGCAUGGUAGGAUAGCGUAAUUAACGCGAUGAAGGAUGACCGUAAGGACAUGUUGGAGCGUUAACUAGUGAGAAUUCCGGUAUGAGUAGCGAAAGAUAGGUGAGAAUCCUAUCCACCGAAUGAGUAAGGUUUCCCCCGGAAGGCUCGUCCGCGGGGGGUUAGUCGGGACCUAAGGCGAGGCUGAAAAGCGUAGUCGAUGGACAACAGGUUGAUAUUCCUGUACCGAUAUUUAAUUGCCGAAGGAAGGACGCAGAAGGAUAACACAGGCCACUAUUGGAUGUGGUUUUAAACAGUUAGUCUUCAUAAGAGUCAAAUGCUUUUAUGUUUAAGGAUAAGCUGUGAAUGUACCAAGUUUACUUGGGAAUUGUGUGAUUUCACGCUGCUGAAAAAAGUUUCGUAGGAAGAAAAUAUUGCCCGUACCGCAAACCGACACAGGUACUCGAGUGGAGAACACUAAGGUGAGCGAGUGAACUAUUGUUAAGGAACUCUGCAAAAUGAGUCCGUAACUUCGGAAGAAGGACUGCUGGUUUUAUACCAGCCGCAGCAAAUAGGCCCAAACAACUGUUUAUCAAAAACACAGGUUUCUGCAAAAUCGUAAGAUGAAGUAUAGGGGCUGACGCCUGCCCAGUGCUGGAAGGUUAAAAGGAGGACUUAGCUUCGGCGAAGGUCUUAAUUGAAGCCCCAGUGAACGGCGGCCGUAACUAUAACGGUCCUAAGGUAGCGAAAUUCCUUGUCGGGUAAGUUCCGACCCGCAUGAAAGGCGUAAUGAUUUGGGCGCUGUCUCAACAAUAGACUCGGUGAAAUUUAAAUUCCAGUGAAGAUGCUGGGUACCCGCGACAGGACGGAAAGACCCCGUGGAGCUUUACUGUAGCUUGAUAUUGAAUGUUUGUGCUGCAUGUGCAGGAUAGGUAGGAGACUUUGAAGUCGGAACGCUAGUUUCGAUUGAGUCACCCUUGAGAUACUACCCCUGUUGUAUGAACGUUCUAACUCUGAUCAGUUAUCCUGAUCGAAGACAGUGUCUGGCAGGCAGUUUGACUGGGGCGGUCGCCUCCUAAAAGAUAACGGAGGCGCUCAAAGG
RNAcentral lists this ribosomal RNA (2280 nucleotides) under Oenococcus oeni. RNAcentral describes it as "ribosomal RNA 23s ribosomal RNA". It matches the Rfam family "Bacterial large subunit ribosomal RNA", at positions 3 to 2316 of the family's 2925-position model. The record is from RNAcentral. Lineage: Bacteria; Bacillati; Bacillota; Bacilli; Lactobacillales; Lactobacillaceae.